This is a long non-coding RNA of Tympanuchus pallidicinctus (lesser prairie-chicken), 3674 nucleotides long. RefSeq lists it as uncharacterized. The record is from RefSeq and is a predicted model, not a curated record. The transcript is spliced from 3 exons. Lineage: Eukaryota; Metazoa; Chordata; Aves; Galliformes; Phasianidae.
GUGCCAGUUUGAUUCCAGUUUGUAAACUACUUGAUGGUGACUAGAUACAAAGCGCUAAAGGAGGUCUUUCUAUUAGGAAGCUUGUCAAUUCCCCUCUCCUGGGGCAACAUUUGGUACAUUAAGCAAAUAUGUUGAAAUGCAUUUGUCAGUCUCAGGUGCAGACUGUAUAAACAUCCCAACUCUGCCAUAGGAAUAGGUGAUUAUGGUCUAAUGCUGGAGCAGCUCCUGCUGAGAGAAGCAAUUAGGUGAGUGAUCCAAAGAGAUUUUUGACCUUUUUUUGUUUCUUUUCAGUUUUUUUCUUGCCUGCUAAAUAGGGUUGAGCAGUCGUAUAGCAGAAUGUAAUCUUUCAAGCUGGACAACUUCAACUAAACGCGGGAUGGAUUUUGCAGUUAAAAUGCCAUCAAGAUCAUACGUAGAAGAGUAAUGAGAGCAUUACUAUCUUGUCAAGACAGCUUACUGCAGUUUUGCAGCACAAGGCCAUGAUUUUGACUGGAACACUUGAUUUCCUUUUUCUUAACAUGGAUGUGUUGUGAAAGGCAAUCGUUUUGCUUAAAUCAAGUUCCCAUAAAUACUGUAACAGGAGAGCACUCUUAGUAGAUGUUAUCUUUUGGAAGGCCUGGCAUCUGACACCCUCCUAUUUUUCUGCCUCAACAGAUCUUGCUGAGUAAUUGAGACCUGUGCUGACAGAAAACAGAUUUUUGACACAGAGAACUGGGAUAAUUUUGACACAUUACAUUUCUGCUCUUGAAGGGUCAUGGAAGUUUAAGUUGUGAGUUUGCACUGAAACUGCUAGACACAGAAGAAAAGAAACACAGGAAGUCUGCAGGACUACAGCUAAGUAACAAAAUCAAGGCUUUAAGGGAAGUACCCUCCUCCAAAACUAUGCAGAAAAGUUGAGAUUGACUGCCAGCUCAUAAUGAACUACCUAAGAACUUCCUGAUUUAAACGUUCUCUACAUGUGUUAAAUUCUGUGUAGUGUAUAAUUUCUGAUGAUUGCUGAGAUGUGUCCAGUCAAUUUAGGGGGAAAUUAAGCAUAUAAAUACAUACAAAAAUACUAUUCAGAGUGUAUUUUUAUCUCCAGAAUACUACAAACUUCAGGUAUUUAUCGUUUAACUUGGUCUGAGAAUAAAAAUGAAAUAUUAGUGCUUUUAAUUCACAUUUAGAUCUAAAACUUGGAUUUGUUGGAUUUCCUUUACUUUUAGGCAAACAUGUUUUCCACUAAUGAAUAAGCAAAAGCAGCAAUCUGACAAAAGAAGCACUAUUUAGUUUGUGCAUGAUUUUCAGAUUCCUUUCUCCUUUGCUGAUGACAUUUUAUUAGAAAAAAAAUAAUCUAGAUGAUCAUUAACCACAGUUGCUAUUUCUGAAAAAAAAAAAGAAAAAGAAAAAGCAGCAGCAGCAAUCUUUCAAGUAUUAACAUUUAUUAAACAGUCAGAGAAUUUAGAUGUUUCUUCAAUUAACCACACAACAAGGAUGUUCUUGUUUUACUGUUACACUAGUUAACUCAAAAUAUACAAGGAGAAUCUGUUUGUAUUCUUACUCAAACAAAAAGCUAGUUUUAAAGCAGGAAAACAGAAUUCAUCCUCUUUCUUAAAAAGGGUUUUUUUUUUCUUCUUUGAACAUCAACUGCUUAACUUAAAUAUAUUUUUGAGAAACACAGGUGCAUCACCAAACUGAACAUAAAGAAACAACCUCAGAAUGCUCUGAGAAAAAAUUGUCAUAGUGAUCAUAAAAAAUCUGAGAAAAAGGAUCCACAGUCAUGCCACUUUGAGAAGUUGUAGCUUCUACAGAUUGCAGAGUGAGGUUUAGCUGUCCUCUUUUGUGCAAGUGGAAACUAAGUUAUAGAUUAAACAGGCAAAUAAACCUUCUUGUUGAGUAGCCUUCACUACUGUCCCCUCAACAGAUAGGCUUACUAAUAAUUGCAUCAGCAUUUGAGAGAAUUUUUACUGCCUUGGAGAAUUACUUCUGUUCUCUGAAAUCUUCACAGAACUCUUACAACUGUGUGUUCCUGUUCGCUCAUGUUGUGUACCAGAUUUUACAUGUGAGAUAGAUCUUAAAAUUGACAUUACCAUCUGUGAUGUCACUUGUAUAGCAGUCACUGAAUUUCAUGAAACAGAAUGACUAAGAAGCAGGCAUCUAUUUUGCCAUAGUUUUUUUAUCAAAUAAAAUGUUUUUCCAUAAUUAAAGGUGGAACUGAACAGAGAAGUAUUAUGUAUAGGAGAAGGUAACACUUCCUAUUACAAACCUGUCAGCUUAAUUUGUAGGAAAUAUGACUUCAAAAUUAAAUAGUACUUGAUUGUUUUAUAUUUCAGAUGUGUCUAGCACUUCUGCUCCUCAGAAUUUCAAGUCCUUUUGUUCCUAUUGUAUUAGAUAAGCAGAAGUAUCCAUUUUUCAGUAGUGUUAUCUCAGCAAUAAAUUACAUUUUGCAUUCCUCUCAGGUUCCUCAUCUAAAGAUCUAUAUAUUUACUAUUAUUUUUCAGACCAUAGGUAAAAAGAGAUAAAUAUCAAGUCUCAACGUAGGUAGAGGCACACAGAGGCAGGUCUGUGAGGUAAGACAUGCCCCACAAAACUUCUAUUUGCCUAAUUAAUAACCGAUUAAGACAAGAUUGUGCCUUCAUCCAUGCAAACAAAAUGCACCUGUUUUGCACUAACCCUUCACUUCACACACGCUCCUCCUUCACUGUGUUUGUGAUGAUUUUUUUCAAAUUUCUUCCAGCUGUAUUUAUUCAUAACAACUGGCAACACUCUGCGUAUUCCCACUGUGACUUUUAAAUAUUUUACCCUCCAGCACUUUUCAAAUAUCUUCUACAAAUACAACAUAGUCCUGUGACUAAGUACAAAAUGGCAUACUUUAUUCCUGAUCGAAAAGUGGCUUUUCUGCUCUUUUAUACUUUUUAUACCUUUUAUACCUUUCAUACUUACUUGAAAAAAUUAGUUUCUGUGAGCCCUUGGACACAGUCUCCUGGAAACAAACAAACAAACAAAGAACUUUCAUGAAGCCUAGUAAUGUUUGCUUAUGAGGCAUGGUGGAAUCGUUGGAUGCUGUUCAGGAAAAAAUUACUUAAUGCCAAUCAGUAGAAGACUGAAGACCAUUUGUCUAUACGAACACACUCAACAAGCAGAGAUGUUACAGACUGCAUCUGAGCUUUGAUGACACCCAUUUGACAAAAGUCUGUCUACAAACCUAUGGUCUUAAACCUAUGGGGCUUCUUCACAGAGUAAACUAUGGGAAUGAAUGAUAAAAUGGGAGCAUCCUGGAAAUAGUGAAGCAUGAUUAAAGUUUUGUUGAACACAAUGGGAUGGAUUCAACAACUAUCACAUUUUUUUAAAUAAUUAACUGUGCUGAAUUUUUCAUGGAAGAGCACAACAUUCAUAUGGUAUAAUUACUACACUGUGAAAUGCAUUUGAAUUAGAACAAGAUGUCACUGGGUAGGUAGAUUCACAGUGUCAGGAAAUGUUGUCCUCCCCAGGUUCUAGGAAUUAUGUGCUUUACAUUCUCUUGCAGCACACAGUACAGGCUACUACUAAUAAUAUAUCCAUAGCUGAACAAAAAGUAUGGCAGGAUUAUUUAAAAUGUUUAAUUAUUCAAAUGAAAGAAUUAAUUGACUGUGCUUUUUUUUUUCUUUCUUUCUUUUUUUUUUCUAGUUCUAAAAUAUUUCUAAACAUUGGAAGAGCUC